AUGCGAUACGUAAUGUGAAUUGCAGAAUUCAGUGAAUCAUCGAAUCUUUGAACGCAUAUUGCGCUCUUUGGUAUUCCGAAGAGCAUGCUUGUUUGAGUAUCAGUAAACACCUCAAAUCUUUUUUUUUUUUUUAAAAAAAAGUUUUGGACUUGAGCAAUCCCAACACCAAUCUUUUUUAGAUCGGUGGCGGGUUGCUUGAAAUGCAGGUGCAGCUGGACAUUCUCCUGAGCUAAAAGCAUAUUUAUUUAGUCCCGUCAAACGGAUUAUUACUUUUGCUGCAGCUAAUAUAAAGGGAGUUUGACCGUAUUGGCUGACUGAUGCAGGAUUUCACAAGGGUCGGCAACGAUUCUUGUAAAACUCGAUCUCAAAUCAAGUAAGACUACCCGCUGAACUUAA
Molecule: unclassified non-coding RNA, 396 nt
Filed under: uncultured Mortierella
Lineage: Eukaryota; Fungi; Mortierellomycota; Mortierellomycetes; Mortierellales; Mortierellaceae
Description: partial contains 5.8S ribosomal RNA, internal transcribed spacer 2, and large subunit ribosomal RNA
Rfam family: 5.8S ribosomal RNA (bases 1-102)
Source: RNAcentral